AGAAGAAUUUCAGCUUUGGGUGCUGAUGGUGGAGCAAGAGCUUCUUCCUUGA
This 52-nucleotide transfer RNA is filed under the name Canis lupus (wolf). Its description in RNAcentral is "partial tRNA-Pro". The record is from RNAcentral. Lineage: Eukaryota; Metazoa; Chordata; Mammalia; Carnivora; Canidae.